GACGGAAAGACCCCGUGGAGCUUUACUGUAGCCUGAUAUUGAAAUUCGGCACAGCUUGUACAGGAUAGGUAGGAGCCUUUGAAACGUGAGCGCUAGCUUACGUGGAGGCGCUGGUGGGAUACUACCCUAGCUGUGUUGGCUUUCUAACCCGCACCACUUAUCGUGGUGGGAGACAGUGUCAGGCGGGCAGUUUGACUGGGGCGGUCGCCUCCUAAAAGGUAACGGAGGCGCUCAAAGGUUCCCUCAGAAUGGUUGGAAAUCAUUCAUAGAGUGUAAAGGCAUAAGGGAGCUUGACUGCGAGACCUACAAGUCGAGCAGGGUCGAAAGACGGACUUAGUGAUCCGGUGGUUCCGCAUGGAAGGGCCAUCGCUCAACGGAUAAAAGCUACCCCGGGGAUAA
Molecule: ribosomal RNA, 399 nt
Filed under: Staphylococcus aureus
Lineage: Bacteria; Bacillati; Bacillota; Bacilli; Caryophanales; Staphylococcaceae
Description: bacterial LSU rRNA
Rfam family: Bacterial large subunit ribosomal RNA
Source: RNAcentral